Pseudacidovorax intermedius is the source of this 83-nucleotide regulatory RNA element. It matches the Rfam family "SucA RNA motif". The record is from Rfam. NCBI's taxonomy places the organism in Bacteria, Pseudomonadati, Pseudomonadota, Betaproteobacteria, Burkholderiales, Comamonadaceae.
UCGCAUCCGCCAUCCGGUUCAGCCGUGUCGCGGAAGGUUUUCUUAACCAGCUAAUGCUUCCCCAAGGGAAGCGGAGGUCAGCG